GACGAACGCUGGCGGCGUGCCUAAUACAUGCAAGUUGAGCGCUGAAGGUUGGUACUUGUACCAACUGGAUGAGCAGCGAACGGGUGAGUAACGCGUGGGUAAUCUGCCUUUGAGCGGGGGACAACCUUUGGAAACGAAUGCUAAUACCGCAUAAAAACUUUAAACACAAGUUUUAAGUUUGAAAGAUGCAAUUGCAUCACUCAAAGAUGAUCCCGCGUUGUAUUAGCUAGGUGGUGAGGUAAAGGCGCACCAAGGCGAGGAUACAUAGCCGACCUGAGAGGGUGAUCGGCCACAUUGGGACUGAGACACGGCCCAAACUCCUACGGGAGGCAGCAGUAGGGAAUCUUCGGCAAUGGACGAAAGUCUGACCGAGCAACGCCGCGUGAGUGAAGAAGGUUUUCGGAUCGUAAAACUCUGUUGGUAGAGAAGAACGUUAGUGAGAGUGGAAAGCUCAUCAAGUGACGGUAACUACCCAGAAAGGGACGGCUAACUACGUG
This 497-nucleotide ribosomal RNA is filed under the name uncultured bacterium. RNAcentral describes it as "partial 16S ribosomal RNA". It matches the Rfam family "Bacterial small subunit ribosomal RNA", at positions 28 to 507 of the family's 1533-position model. The record is from RNAcentral.